Molecule: long non-coding RNA, 640 nt
Filed under: Mytilus galloprovincialis (Mediterranean mussel)
Lineage: Eukaryota; Metazoa; Mollusca; Bivalvia; Mytilida; Mytilidae
Source: RNAcentral
UUAUUAGAUAGGGAGUAUAAUUGUUGUUGGAACAAUCCAAACAUAAUGAAAUAAGAAAAACAAGCAUAUUCAAAUAAAUAAAACAGCAGAUUUCAAAGUAUCUUUGUACCAUGUUUUGUUCUUUUAAACAGUACAAACCAUUCAUGUGCCAAACAAUAUUCUAGCAAAGGUUGCAUUCUAAAUCUAAUAAAUUGUAGUAUAGUGGUGGUGGUGGGGGUCCUUGUGUCCAACUGAUAGUUUGUGAAGAUUUUGAACUUUUUUUAUGCCUUCUGGUAUUAAGUGGAGCUGCGGCAUAUUCCGACUUAAAAGUACCAAGUAUAUAUUCUAGAUUUUUUUAAUUUCACUUAAAUACAUCCUUAAAUCUUUUACAUGAAAUUUAAUACAUGAGUGGUUUAUCAUGUUUAUACUGUCAGAAAAAAAUGUAAGUUUUCAGUCAAGAUUGAAAUGAAAAAUCAAUUUUGAUUUGAAGAUAUGACAAUUAAAACAGGGGAAAAAUUUGAAGGAACAUUAAAUCUAAGAUGACAGGAAUAAAGCAUUUUCUUAUCACAAAAAGUUGACAUCACCCUCCUAUUUUACCUCUUUUUUUUCUUUUUUCUUUUUUUUUUAAAUAAAGAGUGAGAAAAAUAAAUGCCUUAAUGAU